Molecule: long non-coding RNA, 936 nt
Organism: Pipistrellus kuhlii (Kuhl's pipistrelle)
Lineage: Eukaryota; Metazoa; Chordata; Mammalia; Chiroptera; Vespertilionidae
Exons: 3
Source: RefSeq, a predicted model, not a curated record
UGCCAUGUUCCAUAUUGACAUGACUCAGUUACAGGUGUGACUUUCUUCUUUCCCAGGUCUCUUCUUCACCCCAGAGGUCUGGGCUGUGUGUGGGUUGCAGCAUGUCCUUGGCUGGGGAGAACCGUUUAGCCCAAAAUAUUGCCAGCAGGGUUGUUGGAAGCCAAGCCAGAGAUGAGAAGAAGACUGAGGGACAUUACCCAGGACAUUGCCAAGUUUAAAAGCCCCACAGAGCACUAUGGAGCCAUUAUCAAGAAUAAGCUCCCAGAAGAGAGAAGUCUAUGCUGUAGGCCUUGUUUUGCCAAGAGAGGGAAGUGUCCAAAGGCAUUGGAGAGGCAGCCUGAGGAGUCUAGAAGAUGCUGACCAUUCAAAGUGAAUACCUAAGCAUCCUCCCUCUCUCCUAUUCAUUUGUGUGAUAUUUCAAUCACCAGUUAAUUGGCUGAAUUUUUCCCUUACUUUCAUGGCCUCCAAAUUUAAUGUUUCUUCUUGAACAUAAAACAAAACAAAAAGUCUGUGUGGCCAUAUGUAAUGUGCAUAGUUAUACCUCACUCACCCUUGAAGGUUACUUACUUAGCACCCUGAAUGGAUUGGGAACAUUGCCAUCCCCUUCAUAUUUGUGGGUUCUAAGGCAAGAGUGCAAAUGGAGACCUGCAUAACAUAUGUCUAAGUAUUUUCUAGGUGUAAAUCAAGCUAUCAGACUAGUACAUAAAAUACGUCUACCCUAUAUGGUGACAAUUAUACCUUCCUAAUGGCAAAAUUGACAAAUGUGUUUAAAGCUAUUCUUAUUAUGUGACUGAAGGUUGGCAGAAAAGCAAAGAUGACAGAAUUUAAUUGUUACCGUGCAUAUCUCAGUCAUAUAUUGAGAUGUUUUGCUAAGUAAUGCUUUAUUUUCUUUAAUUUUAACAAAAAUAAUUUAUGAGGUAAUAAUCAGGGUUUUCA